Long non-coding RNA from Artibeus jamaicensis (Jamaican fruit-eating bat), 2485 nucleotides. RefSeq lists it as uncharacterized. The record is from RefSeq and is a predicted model, not a curated record. The transcript is spliced from 5 exons. NCBI's taxonomy places the organism in Eukaryota, Metazoa, Chordata, Mammalia, Chiroptera, Phyllostomidae.
GAUCAUUCAGGCAAUGCAGCUGCCCUGACUGCAGUAGGUCCCAAGCACAUACAAACAUCCCUGCCGACAACCACAGAUCCCAGCUGUACUUCAAGUUUGUGUCACUACUCCAUGGCUCUGAAACCUGCAGGCUGCUUCCAUCUGGUGAGGUCUGGGGUAUUUCUGGAAGAGAGAGAAAGGAGAAGAGUGGGAGAGUGAGGGAGAGAAGCAUGAAAGCAUGGACUGGCUACCUCCUUCACAUGACCUGACUGGGAACUGAACCCAUAAGCCAGGUGUGUGUGCCAGCUGGAAUCAAACCUACAGCACUCUGCUUCACAGGAGCUAUAAAACCCCAUGGCAAGGCUGAGUGAAUGACCUUCAGACUGUGAACCACUAAGGAGACAAAGCUUAUCUCCCUGGCAGGAGUGCUGCUUCUGCUUCAUCCAUCUCUGGCCCCAGUGCUUGGCCGGUUAGUCAAUAACAGCCCUUCUCCUCUUUAUUUUAGCAAUGGAUUGUGGAAAAUGAGAGAGUUUAUCUUGACAUGAAAAUAUUUCAACGCACAGCGAUCUUGCCGGACGGGCUCAUCAGCGUUUUCUGUACAACUGUUCCAGGAACUCGUAUGCAACUGAUCACCUCUUCCAUCUGUUGAAAAGACUCAAGCCUCAACUUGGAAGGAGCUGGAGCUUCUGCCUCAGGAUCUGAAUUCAUUCCCAUUGUUUUACUCAACAGAGUUCUGGGAUCCUGGCUCCCUUGUUGUUAUGACUGAAAAUACAGGUUUUUACCUGUUCCCAUUUUUAGUAAGAGUACUUAUUUUUCUUCCUGAAUAUUUAAAAAGUUUAGGCUUGCUUCAUCUUGCAAAUGUUAAUCUAGAGCAAACAGGAUUUGAAUAUAAAAACAGAUUUAUGAUUUGGAGAGUGUGAGCUUGGUUUUGGUUAUUCUGUAAGAAGAGUUAGAAGUCUUCUGAUGUAAGGACAUGAGUGUAAGUCAUAAGGCAAGAGAGUGAAUGAAAGGAGAAAAAAACAGCUUAAACCAUCCCCACUCCAAAUACUUUAAAGCACAGAGUUUAACAAGGUGGUGACUUAAAAAUUAACAUUUAACUUGUAUAAAAUUUUAGCUCUAAAAUUGACUAAUCAGUAUAGUCAGGUAUAAAAUUUUAUACUCUAAAAUUAACUAACCAAUAUGGUUGGGUAUUCUUAAUGCUGAUAAAAAUAAAGAUUCUGGGUUUUUAAAAACGGAUGUGUCAUGGAAGUGUGUGCUUGAAACCUAUAUGAUCCUGUUGACUAGUGUCACCCCAAUAAAUUUAAUUAAAAAGCAGAUUUUCUUAUUUUAAUAUGUGUUUCCCAUGCUAUAGAGAAUAUGAUACAGCACUACUUAACUUUGAAAAAAUUAGAGAUAAUAAAAUAAUGUUCCAAUCUAUAGCAGCCCAAUUUUUGUAGGACCUGGAUGUCUAUAGAAACUAGAAGACAAUACGGAGAGAGAGCUGGAGAGGCUGUUUUUAUAACCACUCCCAUUUUUGGCUCUCAAAUUAAAUCAUAAGGAUUGUUAGAAAAAAUAAAUAUUUUUUGCAAAACUUUAACAUGCAUGUGUUUAUAUAUAUCACAAGAUCAGAAAGUUACUAUUGUCUUAAUCAGUACUUAGGACUGAGACAACUGGGGUGGGCUUUAUGGUUUCUGAAAUUACCAGUUAUUCUAGAUAAUAGGAUAAAUGCUGUAAAAAAUGAUGCCCUUCAACUGAACCAUGCAAAUGUAUUAGUAUUAUUUGAUACAAAUUAUUUUGGUCCCACUUACUUAUGUAUAUGUUGAUUAGUUUUCCAUGGUAAUUUCACAUUAUUUCUUAAGAUAUCUGAAAACUUUUUCUUUAUGAUCAUGCUCUUAUACUUCCGAUUUGGUGACAUUUUUAUUUUAGCUAAAACAUGGACAUUUCCCUAAUUUGAAAUGAGUUAAUGUGAGCACAGAUCCUAAUCAGAUCCAAAAUUUUAAGUGCUCAUAAAAAUCUGAAAUUCUGCAACAACACUAAAUACCCAUAUGCAGAAAAAAGAAAAACCAAUUUACGUAUUUGUGGCACUUGCAGUGAACUUUCACAGCCAUUUCUGCCGGGAUUGUUUGUUAAGCAUUCUACCAUAUUAAUGUAGUUUUGGAAGAAAAUGAAAAAGUGAAGUUUAAAUGUCACAUUCAAAGUACUAUGAGUAUAAGAAACAUAAUCCCAGAGCCAAAAAUCACCAAUAAAAACAAAUUAUACUACUUAUGUAAACACUGCCCCUUAGGACAAGGAGGUGAUGGGUUUUGGUGCAAAGGAAAAAUGUAUGCCAUUAGGAAGUGAAGGUUCCUAAUAGUCUUAUGGUAGGCAUUUGAAGAGGUUUUAAGUCUUUAUUCAGAAUGAAUUGGGAACAUUCUAGAGAUGUCCUUCAUUUAUUUAUUCAACAAAUGAUGGUCUCUGUUGGAACACUGAGCUACUGGCAACUCCUGAUACCAAUUGUCUUAUAAAUAAGCCCUUAUAUAUGCUACUA